Molecule: long non-coding RNA, 387 nt
Filed under: Prunus persica (peach)
Lineage: Eukaryota; Viridiplantae; Streptophyta; Magnoliopsida; Rosales; Rosaceae
Description: long non-coding RNA (PPER_LNC007882)
Source: RNAcentral
CACAGCCUUCUCUCCUUCCUUCCUCCUUUUCCCCUUCCUUUUUUUUUCUUUUCUUUCUUUUAGCCUCUCUCGACCCAUUCUCUCUUCCUCAUUCUGUAUCUCUCCCUCUCCUGGUGCCGUACUUGAUCCCAAACCAUCCCUUCCACUCCACUGUCUCACUACGGAAGCUCAGGCGCUUCAACUACCUCAUCCUCGUCUUCCGAAUUGCCUCUUUCAGCUUCUCUCUCUCGCUUCCUUCAUUUUCUCUCUGUCUUCCUUCAUCUUCAUGCUCUCCACUUCUCGCUACCCCAACUCCUCACCAUCAGUUUUCUGUCUUUUUUUAAAUUUCUGUUUGGCUGUCGAGAAAUUCACUGCAAUUCCAAAAGAGAAAAAAACAAAACAAAACAG